UCGUAUUGAUCUUUCUCCCGUAUCUGGGAGCAGGAGGAGGGGUUGCUUAACUUUCAGUUGUUCUGUGGAUCCAAAAGAGCAUUCAUGUAAGGUGGACUCAGGGGCACCUGCAGAAAUUAGAGCAACCAGGGUUAGUUUCUGAAUCAGUUCAAGAGUUUUUGAAAGCUCCUUCUCUCUCUCUGUCUGUCUCUCUCUCUCUUUCACACACACACACACACACACACACACACACAC
This 234-nucleotide long non-coding RNA is filed under the name Homo sapiens (human). RNAcentral describes it as "HSALNT0233185". Lineage: Eukaryota; Metazoa; Chordata; Mammalia; Primates; Hominidae. The record is from RNAcentral.